This 2239-nucleotide long non-coding RNA is filed under the name Marmota monax (woodchuck). The record is from RNAcentral. Lineage: Eukaryota; Metazoa; Chordata; Mammalia; Rodentia; Sciuridae.
GGAUGACACACUUUGACUGGAGGCCUGACUGCAUCAAGGAAACCAAACAACAUCAGACAAAAAAAGUUUCAAGAGACUGAAGUACAACUUAAAACAAUACACCCUUCAACUUUGUCAUAAAGAGUCCAGAGGACUGGUUGCAGUAGCAGCAAACCUCACACUGAGGUGUUUGUGAAACAAGUCUCAAAAUGAUGUAAACAAAAACAUGAUCAGAAGAUCCAAUUAAAUCAGGCCUAGUAUUUACUUUCUUUCAGAAUUUCCAAGAAAUUUUUGUAGAAUUAGAAGACGAAAUUGUGCAAAUACAUCUUGAGUUCACCUUAAUUACUUUAUAGAUUAGUCUCUGUGGUAAUCAGACUAACAACACCUCCCCCACCUCCAUUACUAGCAAAGAUGUCCAUAAAACAAUGUCCUGAAAGCUAAAUGUGUUAUAUUUUAGGGUAAUGGGGAAUUAGGGUUGCAGAUGGAAUUAAGGUUGCUGACUUUGAGAUAAAGCAGUCUUCCUGGAUUAUAUAGUGAGUCCAUCAAGAUACAAUUAUCAGGAUCCUUAUACUUAAAAGAGGGAGGCUAGAGGUUUAAAGCCAGAAAUUUAAAGCUGUUUCUCUUCUUGCUUGGAAGAUGGUGGAAGGAACCAUGUAAGAAUUCUAGAAAAGACAAAGAAACAAAUUCUGCCCUAGAGCUUCCAGAAGGAUUCAGCCCUAUAGAUACCUUGGUUUUAACCCAGUUAAAUCAUUUUGGACUUCUGACUCCAGAACUACAAUAGAAUUAAUUUGUGCCACAGACUAUAUGGUAAUCUGUUAUUACAGCAAUAGAAAGCCAAUGCAGUAUUAUUGAACAUAUAUUGUAUAACUAUCUCUGCCUUUUAGAUUAGAUAUAAGUCAUGGUCACAUGGUUACUAACCUCAUUAAGUUUAGUAGAGGAUAAGACAAUCUUCUCUGCACAUUAUUGAGUGAGUUCUCUGGGGGAAACUUUCAUGAUAUUAAGAGUCUUCUGAUUUUUGAGGAGCUACAUUAGGAGGAUGUUCUCAAACAUAUUAAUGGGGAGAAAUGGAGAUUUAUGUAGAAUAUUUGACUUGGGAAGGACCUUAACUUACAUAGCAUCAGCAUUGGUACCAUGAUAUCCAGACUACAUGUGUUAUUUCUUCUACAUCCAACCACCUGCUCCAGAAGGUGAUACACAGGUAUGAAGUUGUGAAAACUGGUACUUCCCCACUACCAACAUGAACAGGUUAAUUUUUAGGUGCUCCUCUCACUUGACUAUGACCAGCAUUUUAUAUAAUGAGUUUUCUGGCUUAGGGUUGAAUAUAUUUGCAUUUUAGAUCACCUCCAACAUGACACUUAUUUAGCAAGAUUGAUAACACUCUUUCAGGCAGAAAGUUACUAUAACAGGUACUGUUAUAAGACUAGGACUUUGCAGUGUAUGGGGGGAUGGUAAUUUUUUUCCUUUGAAUGUUUCUGAAUAGGUGCCCAUGUCGCUUAUGAGAAAUACAGUAAUCAAAAAUGUUACUUCUGCCAGGUGUGGUGGUUCAUGCCUAUAAUCCCAGCACCUCUGGAAACUGAGGCAGAAAGAUAUGAGUUGAAAGCCAGCCUUGGCAACUUAGCAAGGCCAUAAGCAACUUAGUGAGACAUGUCUCAAAAUGAAAUACAAGCCAGGCACAGUGGUAAAUGCCUGUAAUCCCAGAGGCUUGGGAGGCUGAGGCAGGAGAAUCGUGAGUUCAAAGCCAGUCUCAGCAAAAGUAAAGUGCUAAGCAACUCAGUGAGGCCCUGUCUCUAAAUAAAGUACAAAAAUAGGGCUGGGAAUGUGGCUCCAUGGUUGAGCAUCCUUGGGUUCAAUCCCUGAUAGAAAAACAAAAAAGGUCACUUACACACACACACACACGCACACCACCACCACCACCACCACACACACACAUUUGCUACAACUGCAAUUAGUAUUAUUCUUUUUUAAAAUGAAGUGUCACAGAAAAAGUCCCAUGUGCUAGGUUGGAGCCCUGAAAGGUAGUAUUACAAGUGCUUAAACAUAGACAAAUCAAGAUUCAAAUCCUGGCCUUGCCACUGUGGGACCCUAGUAAUAUGAACAUCAUUUUCAUCAUCUGUAGAGCAGAGAUACUAGAAAACAUCUCAUAAGCGGUUUUGUGAUAAUUAAAGAGAUAAUUCAUAUAAAGUGCUUAAUGCAUUGAAUCAAUAAAUGUUAGCUUCUGUUUUAAUAGCCAAAGGAACUAAUUUGCUGACAAGGGGUAAGU